UUCUAAGAGCGAGACGUUUUGGGGGUGUCCCUGCUCUUUCUAGGUGAGGUCCGUGCAGAAACCCUGCAACAGCCCGUCAACAGCAGUAUUUAAUGCUUAUGGAUAUUGUGGCGAACUGGCCUACUGGACGACACUCUGGAGACUCUUGCAUCUUUUUCUCUAUAGAUUUAUUCUUCUCCAUCCACACAAAAAAGAAAACCACAGAUCAGUAUGGACACUGGACUUUUUAACAGAACACAAACAGAGAGAGAUCAAGAAGAAAGAGCUUUCUUUACCUUCAUCCACACAAAAGCACAUUUGCUAUGAGCUAUAUAGCUAAUCUCACUGCGUAAGCCCCUCAUCAAGCUCAUUUGAGCCCCUGCAGUACCUAAAACAGCAAUCAGAGGCAGAGCUGUAUGAAGGACAGACAGGGGACAGACAAGUGUCAACCCUGACUAGUGGAGGAGAACAUGCCAAGAUGCAUGGAUUAAAAACAAGGGUUAUUUCACCAAAUAUUGAUUUUCCCCUUUUUUUGCAAAUAAAUGCUCAAAUUACUCAAACA
RNAcentral lists this long non-coding RNA (541 nucleotides) under Astyanax mexicanus (Mexican tetra). Its description in RNAcentral is "lncRNA (ENSAMXG00005014747.1)". The record is from RNAcentral. Lineage: Eukaryota; Metazoa; Chordata; Actinopteri; Characiformes; Acestrorhamphidae.